GAUUAACGCUGGCGGUAGGCCUAACACAUGCAAGUCGAACGGCAGCACAGGAGAGCUUGCUCUCUGGGUGGCGAGUGGCGGACGGGUGAGGAAUACAUCGGAAUCUACUUUUUCGUGGGGGAUAACGUAGGGAAACUUACGCUAAUACCGCAUACGACCUACGGGUGAAAGCAGGGGAUCUUCGGACCUUGCGCGAUUGAAUGAGCCGAUGUCGGAUUAGCUAGUUGGCGGGGUAAAGGCCCACCAAGGCGACGAUCCGUAGCUGGUCUGAGAGGAUGAUCAGCGACACUGGAACUGAGACACGGUCCAGACUCCUACGGGAGGCAGCAGUGGGGAAUAUUGGACAAUGGGCGCAAGCCUGAUCCAGCCAUACCGCGUGUGUGAAGAAGGCCUUCGGGUUGUAAAGCCCUUUUGUUGGGAAAGAAAUCCAGCUGGUUAAUACCCGGUUGGGAUGACGGUACCCAAAGAAUAAGCACCGGCUAACUUCGUGCCAGCCGCCGCCGUAA
This 506-nucleotide ribosomal RNA is filed under the name uncultured bacterium. RNAcentral's name for it is "partial 16S ribosomal RNA". It matches the Rfam family "Bacterial small subunit ribosomal RNA", at positions 28 to 523 of the family's 1533-position model. The record is from RNAcentral.